UGAACAUGAUAUUUCUACUAACUGAAAGCAAUUUAACAGACUUUUCUAAUUCUCCAUAGAAAUACUUCUCUUUGGAGAUACUUUUCAUACAUCUCUGUAAGCAAUGAUAAUUGAUCAUUAAACAAAUAAUGAGAAAGGUCGAAGUUUGAUUUGUGUCACAUCAAUUUUGUAACCUAUUUCUUUCUCAUAUGAUAGUUUUUGACAGAUAGAGUGGACAAAUUCCAGUUUUAAAACACGAAGAUCAUUAUUUUAGAAGCAUAUAAAGUUCACGCAUAAUUUAUUUGGAUACUACAAUAUAUUAUAAUAUAAAUUAAACCUAACCUAAACCAAAAUCCAUUCUGUUAAUCGAACUCCUAACGAUGCAUAUAAAUCAUAAAACAUGUAUGUAUGUAUGUCUAAGUUAAUUGUAUAAUAUACGCCAACUUUAAAAGUAAUUUAAAAGUAAAAAGUAAGGCACGUAUAACCUUUAAAAUAAUGAUCUCCUUAGAAUUAGUAUUCAUGAAUUCUUCUUGUUAAAGACUGUCAUGUGUUAUAACAAAAAUUAACAGGUUUAGAGUGCCGAAUGAAGACCAGCCACGGAAACAUGACAAUAACUUGUAUUGUAUAUAAAACAUGACUUUGUUUUAAGAAGGUUAUUAAGACUGUUUAUGGUAUCUACGUGAGAAGUGUAGUCAUCACUGGUAGCGUGGCCGAGCGGUCUAAGGCGCUGGUUUAAGGCACCAGUCUCUUCGGAGGCGUGGGUUCGAAUCCCACCGCUGCCAUUUAUUUUUGCCUUCUUUUGUAAUACUUUAACAUGUGAUAAGUUCGUGGAUUGUAUUUCGACCAACCUUCAUAAAUCAACAACGCGUAAUUAAUGAAGAAGACGGUGGUAGCAACUCCCUUGAAGGUCCAAUGGGUUGCGUCGGCACGCGGCGCCGUGGUUCACACCUAUUAGGAAAAUAGAAAGAUGGCCGCUUAUCUUUUAUGUCACACGGAGUCUAUUUUACCGAUGUGACUAGGAUGUGACAAUGCUUCUGAAUAAUAUGAUAGCCUAAUAAAUGUUUCAUUCUGAAGAUGCCACCACAAGCCACACCCAAUGAAUAGAUACAAAAGCUUCAAUACCACCAUUUGUUGUAUUUAUGCGCGUAGAAUAUAAUUUAACAGAAGUUGUAUACAUAAACCCUCUAUACUUUUCCUAAAAAU
Long non-coding RNA from Bombus terrestris (buff-tailed bumblebee), 1182 nucleotides. RefSeq lists it as uncharacterized. The record is from RefSeq and is a predicted model, not a curated record. NCBI's taxonomy places the organism in Eukaryota, Metazoa, Arthropoda, Insecta, Hymenoptera, Apidae. The transcript has 2 exons.